Molecule: long non-coding RNA, 241 nt
Organism: Micropterus dolomieu (smallmouth bass)
Lineage: Eukaryota; Metazoa; Chordata; Actinopteri; Centrarchiformes; Centrarchidae
Exons: 2
Source: RefSeq, a predicted model, not a curated record
AUAACCAGGACACUCACCGUCAGCCGGGCUGCCACCACAACAACAUUACUGUGGCUCAAAGACAGAACUGACUCAUCUCGCUGUGGAGAGUCCCCAGCUGCAGAAGCACCAGGGCCGACCCGUUUUGCGCUGAACCCCGCAGAUGGCGCAGCGCAAAUCGCUUCAUAUCUUAAAGGACCAUCUCAAAGGUUGCAAAAUGUAAAUAUUAUGAACUCUCAUUAAAUUAUGACGUUAGUCUCGU